GGUUAAGCGACUAAGCGUACACGGUGGAUGCCCUGGCAGUCAGAGGCGAUGAAGGACGUGCUAAUCUGCGAUAAGCGUCGGUAAGGUGAUAUGAACCGUUAUAACCGGCGAUUUCCGAAUGGGGAAACCCAGUGUGUUUCGACACACUAUCAUUAACUGAAUCCAUAGGUUAAUGAGGCGAACCGGGGGAACUGAAACAUCUAAGUACCCCGAGGAAAAGAAAUCAACCGAGAUUCCCCCAGUAGCGGCGAGCGAACGGGGAGCAGCCCAGAGUCUGAAUCAGUGUGUGUGUUAGUGGAAGCGUCUGGAAAGGCGCGCGAUACAGGGUGACAGCCCCGUACACAAAAAUGCACAUGCUGUGAGCUCGAUGAGUAGGGCGGGACACGUGGUAUCCUGUCUGAAUAUGGGGGGACCAUCCUCCAAGGCUAAAUACUCCUGACUGACCGAUAGUGAACCAGUACCGUGAGGGAAAGGCGAAAAGAACCCCGGCGAGGGGAGUGAAAAAGAACCUGAAACCGUGUACGUACAAGCAGUGGGAGCACGCUUAGGCGUGUGACUGCGUACCUUUUGUAUAAUGGGUCAGCGACUUAUAUUCUGUAGCAAGGUUAACCGAAUAGGGGAGCCGAAGGGAAACCGAGUCUUAACUGGGCGUUAAGUUGCAGGGUAUAGACCCGAAACCCGGUGAUCUAGCCAUGGGCAGGUUGAAGGUUGGGUAACACUAACUGGAGGACCGAACCGACUAAUGUUGAAAAAUUAGCGGAUGACUUGUGGCUGGGGGUGAAAGGCCAAUCAAACCGGGAGAUAGCUGGUUCUCCCCGAAAGCUAUUUAGGUAGCGCCUCGUGAAUUCAUCUCCGGGGGUAGAGCACUGUUUCGGCAAGGGGGUCAUCCCGACUUACCAACCCGAUGCAAACUGCGAAUACCGGAGAAUGUUAUCACGGGAGACACACGGCGGGUGCUAACGUCCGUCGUGAAGAGGGAAACAACCCAGACCGCCAGCUAAGGUCCCAAAGUCAUGGUUAAGUGGGAAACGAUGUGGGAAGGCCCAGACAGCCAGGAUGUUGGCUUAGAAGCAGCCAUCAUUUAAAGAAAGCGUAAUAGCUCACUGGUCGAGUCGGCCUGCGCGGAAGAUGUAACGGGGCUAAACCAUGCACCGAAGCUGCGGCAGCGACGCUUAUGCGUUGUUGGGUAGGGGAGCGUUCUGUAAGCCUGUGAAGGUGUGCUGUGAGGCAUGCUGGAGGUAUCAGAAGUGCGAAUGCUGACAUAAGUAACGAUAAAGCGGGUGAAAAGCCCGCUCGCCGGAAGACCAAGGGUUCCUGUCCAACGUUAAUCGGGGCAGGGUGAGUCGACCCCUAAGGCGAGGCCGAAAGGCGUAGUCGAUGGGAAACAGGUUAAUAUUCCUGUACUUGGUGUUACUGCGAAGGGGGGACGGAGAAGGCUAUGUUGGCCGGGCGACGGUUGUCCCGGUUUAAGCGUGUAGGCUGGUUUUCCAGGCAAAUCCGGAAAAUCAAGGCUGAGGCGUGAUGACGAGGCACUACGGUGCUGAAGCAACAAAUGCCCUGCUUCCAGGAAAAGCCUCUAAGCAUCAGGUAACAUCAAAUCGUACCCCAAACCGACACAGGUGGUCAGGUAGAGAAUACCAAGGCGCUUGAGAGAACUCGGGUGAAGGAACUAGGCAAAAUGGUGCCGUAACUUCGGGAGAAGGCACGCUGAUAUGUAGGUGAAGUCCCUCGCGGAUGGAGCUGAAAUCAGUCGAAGAUACCAGCUGGCUGCAACUGUUUAUUAAAAACACAGCACUGUGCAAACACGAAAGUGGACGUAUACGGUGUGACGCCUGCCCGGUGCCGGAAGGUUAAUUGAUGGGGUUAGCGCAAGCGAAGCUCUUGAUCGAAGCCCCGGUAAACGGCGGCCGUAACUAUAACGGUCCUAAGGUAGCGAAAUUCCUUGUCGGGUAAGUUCCGACCUGCACGAAUGGCGUAAUGAUGGCCAGGCUGUCUCCACCCGAGACUCAGUGAAAUUGAACUCGCUGUGAAGAUGCAGUGUACCCGCGGCAAGACGGAAAGACCCCGUGAACCUUUACUAUAGCUUGACACUGAACAUUGAGCCUUGAUGUGUAGGAUAGGUGGGAGGCUUGGAAGUGUGGACGCCAGUCUGCAUGGAGCCGACCUUGAAAUACCACCCUUUAAUGUUUGAUGUUCUAACGUUGACCCGUAAUCCGGGUUGCGGACAGUGUCUGGUGGGUAGUUUGACUGGGGCGGUCUCCUCCUAAAGAGUAACGGAGGAGCACGAAGGUUGGCUAAUCCUGGUCGGACAUCAGGAGGUUAGUGCAAUGGCAUAAGCCAGCUUGACUGCGAGCGUGACGGCGCGAGCAGGUGCGAAAGCAGGUCAUAGUGAUCCGGUGGUUCUGAAUGGAAGGGCCAUCGCUCAACGGAUAAAAGGUACUCCGGGGAUAACAGGCUGAUACCGCCCAAGAGUUCAUAUCGACGGCGGUGUUUGGCACCUCGAUGUCGGCUCAUCACAUCCUGGGGCUGAAGUAGGUCCCAAGGGUAUGGCUGUUCGCCAUUUAAAGUGGUACGCGAGCUGGGUUUAGAACGUCGUGAGACAGUUCGGUCCCUAUCUGCCGUGGGCGCUGGAGAACUGAGGGGGGCUGCUCCUAGUACGAGAGGACCGGAGUGGACGCAUCACUGGUGUUCGGGUUGUCAUGCCAAUGGCACUGCCCGGUAGCUAAAUGCGGAAGAGAUAAGUGCUGAAAGCAUCUAAGCACGAAACUUGCCCCGAGAUGAGUUCUCCCUGACUCCUUGAGAGUCCUGAAGGAACGUUGAAGACGACGACGUUGAUAGGCCGGGUGUGUAAGCGCAGCGAUGCGUUGAGCUAACCGGUACUAAUGAACCGUGAGGCUUAACCUU
Molecule: ribosomal RNA, 2904 nt
Filed under: Escherichia coli
Lineage: Bacteria; Pseudomonadati; Pseudomonadota; Gammaproteobacteria; Enterobacterales; Enterobacteriaceae
Description: 23S ribosomal RNA
Rfam family: Bacterial large subunit ribosomal RNA
Source: RNAcentral